RNAcentral lists this ribosomal RNA (464 nucleotides) under uncultured bacterium. RNAcentral's name for it is "partial 16S ribosomal RNA". It matches the Rfam family "Bacterial small subunit ribosomal RNA", at positions 339 to 795 of the family's 1533-position model. The record is from RNAcentral.
CUACGGGUGGCUGCAGUGGGGAAUAUUGGACAAUGGGCGCAAGCCUGAUCCAGCAAUACCGCGUGUGUGAAGAAGGCCUGCGGGUUGUAAAGCACUUUCAAUUGUGAAGAAAAGCUCGAGGUUAAUACCCUCGGGUCUUGACGUUAACUUUAGAAGAAGCACCGGCUAACCCUGUGCCAGCAGCCGCGGUAAUACAGGGGGUGCAAGCGUUAAUCGGAAUUACUGGGCGUAAAGCGCGCGUAGGCGGUUUGUUAAGUCAGAUGUGAAAGCCCUGGGCUCAACCUGGGAACUGCAUUUGAAACUGGCAGGCUAGAGUAUGGUAGAGGAAAGUGGAAUUUCGGGUGUAGCGGUGAAAUGCGUAGAUAUCCGAAGGAACAUCAGUGGCGAAGGCGACUUUCUGGACCAAUACUGACGCUGAGGUGCGAAAGCGUGGGGAGCAAACAGGAUUAGAUACCCCUGUAGUC